This 301-nucleotide ribosomal RNA is filed under the name uncultured bacterium. RNAcentral describes it as "partial 16S ribosomal RNA". It matches the Rfam family "Bacterial small subunit ribosomal RNA", at positions 509 to 807 of the family's 1533-position model. The record is from RNAcentral.
CAGCCGCCACGGGAAUACGUAGGGUGCAAGCGUUAAUCGGAAUUACUGGGCGUAAAGCGUGCGCAGGCGGUUUGUUAAGACAGAUGUGAAAUCCCCGGGCUUAACCUGGGAACUGCAUUUGUGACUGGCAAGCUAGAGUAUGGCAGAGGGGGGUGGAAUUCCGCGUGUAGCAGUGAAAUGCGUAGAUAUGCGGAGGAACACCGAUGGCGAAGGCAGCCCCCUGGGCCAAUACUGACGCUCAUGCACGAAAGCGUGGGGAGCAAACAGGAUUAGAUACCCCUGUAGUCCCUGUCUCUUAUAC